ACGAACGCUGGCGGCGUGCUUAACACAUGCAAGUCGAACGCUGAAGCUUGGUGCUUGCACUGGGUGGAUGAGUGGCGAACGGGUGGGUAAUACGUGAGUAACCUGCCCUUGACUCUGGGAUAAGCCUGGAAACCGGGGUCUAUUCUUGAAUACACCUGGUCACCGCUUGGUGGUUUGUGGAAGGGGUUUUCUGGUUUUGGAUGGGCUCACGGCCUAUCAGCUUGUUGGUGGGGUAAUGGCUCACCAAGGCGACGACGGGUAGCCGGCCUGAGAGGGUGACCGGCCACACUGGGACUGAGACACGGCCCAGACUCCUACGGGAGGCAGCAGUGGGGAAUAUUGCACAAUGGGCGGAAGCCUGAUGCAGCGACGCCGCGUGAGGGAUGACGGCCUUCGGGUUGUAAACCUCUUUCAGCACGGAAGAAGCGAAAGUGACGGUACGUGCAGAAGAAGCGCCGGCUAACUACGUG
Molecule: ribosomal RNA, 470 nt
Filed under: uncultured bacterium
Lineage: Bacteria
Description: partial 16S ribosomal RNA
Rfam family: Bacterial small subunit ribosomal RNA
Source: RNAcentral